GUAAUGGCAGGUCAGCAUACUGCCGUGAAUACGUUCCCGGGCCUUGUACACACCGCCCGUCACACCAUGAGAGUUGGGAAUACCCGAAGCCUGUGAGCUAACAUUUAUGAGGCAGCAGUCGAAGGUAGAAUCAAUGAUUGGGGUGAAGUCGUAACAAGGUACC
This 163-nucleotide ribosomal RNA is filed under the name uncultured bacterium. RNAcentral describes it as "partial 16S ribosomal RNA". It matches the Rfam family "Bacterial small subunit ribosomal RNA", at positions 1338 to 1500 of the family's 1533-position model. The record is from RNAcentral.